Molecule: ribosomal RNA, 201 nt
Filed under: uncultured bacterium
Lineage: Bacteria
Description: partial 16S ribosomal RNA
Rfam family: Bacterial small subunit ribosomal RNA
Source: RNAcentral
GCAGCCUGCAACCCGGCUGCACGAAGCCGGAAUCGCUAGUAAUCGCAGAUCAGAAUGCUGCGGUGAAUACGUUCCCGGGUCUUGUACACACCGCCCGUCACACCAUGGGAGCCAGAAAUGCCCGAAGUCAGUGGCCCAACCGCAAGGAGGGAGCUGCCGAAGGCAGGUCCGGUGACUGGGGUGAAGUCGUAACAAGGUACC